Molecule: long non-coding RNA, 769 nt
Organism: Quercus robur (English oak)
Lineage: Eukaryota; Viridiplantae; Streptophyta; Magnoliopsida; Fagales; Fagaceae
Exons: 2
Source: RefSeq, a predicted model, not a curated record
GGCAUCAUAGUAGGUGACAGAAAAUAAAACAAAUAUUUUCCAGUGGGGCAUCUAAUAAGAGUGAACAAUCAAGCAAAGGAGCACGGGGCAGUCCAAAUAAAACAAAGCAAAGUGGUGAACAAACUCUGAGGAAAUUAGGUGGGAAAAAAAUAUAUUCUUUCUUGUCAAUUUAUGUUCAAAAUCUAUUGAAGCACGAGGAGGUAUAGAAUUCAUGGUGAAUAACCAAAUGUUUCAACAAAAUAGUUCUCAAAGUUUCGUCUUUCAACUGAAAUUUAUAUACUUUUAUCGAACAAAAUCACAUAGUAAAGAUGGUUUCAAAUAUACUCCACGAAAUGUGGAAAAACCUCAAACAUGAAUGCAAAACUCAUCUUCAAUCGUUUUGACACGUAUCCACACCCUUCACUAAUUCUUAACAGGAAAAAGAAGUGCCAUUUGAAUUAAAUCCCAUCGAAAAAAAAUGAUUUUUAAUAAUGAAAAAACUUAUUUUUAUAGUUUUAAAGUCCAAAAUUAGCUCAAUUUUCCCUACUAUUAUCUAUAAUAGCUAAAAUACUCAAAAUCAGUUAAGUCAACCAAAAUUAAAUCCAACAAGUAAUUGUCUUUGCCAAUUUCAAACUACACUUACACAACAAAUAGACAUAUUCCAUUCCGUCAAUAACAAUUUGACUAAUCAUUACUCCACACUCACACACAUAUCUACCUAACAAAUUCAUAAUCAAAAUAAAAAUAAAAUUUGCUAAAAAUAAAUAUAUAUUAAAAAAAAAAAAAAAAA